Molecule: long non-coding RNA, 1429 nt
Filed under: Capra hircus (goat)
Lineage: Eukaryota; Metazoa; Chordata; Mammalia; Artiodactyla; Bovidae
Description: lncRNA (ENSCHIG00000007159.1)
Source: RNAcentral
CCUGUGUUCAUUUUCCAGCUACACUUUAACUAGGAAACGGUGAAGAAAUCUUGGAAAGUAUAAAGAACCAGACACGAAUACGUUUCUCUCCAUCCGGGGUGGGGGGAGAAAACCCCAACUUGUUAAUUAACCCACAUUUCACUUCUGCAAAGUUCAUUUUUUCCUUCCCUCUCAAUGUCCACAUCUGAACAGCAGUGUGUAGCAUGCUACGAAAUGUUUGGCUGCUGCUGCGGCUGCCGUACUUUCGAGUCAGGAGAGAAGUGCCUUUUUCAUCACGAAUUCUUUUGUUUUUCUCUGUGGCCAGCUGCUACAAAGAUGCAGUCAAUUUAGAUUAAACAGGCUGAGGAGUGCUCUCCGACAUGUCAGCCAAGCACACUUCUUGAAAUCCGGUGUUCAGCAGCAGGUGGCGUGUCCUAGGUCUGACUCAGGAAGCAGGAGCACCAGGAAGCCCGGCUUUCAGCCAGCAUCUCAGCUAAGGCGAACAUGGAGAGACAGAGGUGGGAAAUUUGCCCUGCUCUCAGCUAGCAGGAUGCAAAGAGACAAUUGAGGUUGCUUUAAAAGGAUACCAGUGAAAAUCCAAACAAGCCUGACUUCGUCUCUGGAACUAGGAAGAGCAGCGAGUGAGCGUGUGAGAGCUGAGGAAUAGCCCCGGACCCACCUCAAAGCUGUGGGUUCAUUCGGGGACCUCAGUGACUUUUCAGGCUUGACUACAAGUAUGAUUCUGAUCCAAAAUUAGGCUUUGGAUGUGUAAUGCCAGGCUCCCUGCCCCACCCACCGCCUCUCGCUGCCGUUUCUUCAGAGCCUGGCUCCCGGCCAGUACUGGCCCUUCUAGCUCCUGGGGGAAGGGCUGGCCUGGCUGUUCUGUCUUGUUUUGUUUCCAGGCGGGGUUUUAGGAUGGGUGAAGGUGCGUCGGCUCUUCAGGAAGUCGAGGGGAAAUUGACACGCUUGGCAAGGGCAUCCAAACCUCAAAUCACUCACUUCAUCCAGCCAAAGGUGGAGGAGACGGUACAGGGCGAUUUCCCAGGGUUGCUGGCCCUGGCAGGAGUGGUGCGGACGGCAGCAUCUUCAAGACCGCUCGUCCUCUCUGACCUUCAGCAGCCAGACCACGGGCAGCAGUGGGGCUGUUGUGUUGGGGUUCGCCUUCGCAGCCUUCUUUGUCUCAUUGCCCACGGAAGAAGAUUCCUUUUGAAGAUGAUCAAGGAGACAAAGGGACAGAGAGAUUACCAAUGGAAAUGACCAGGGAAACUUCAGGAAGAAGCAAAGUGGCCGACCACGUUAGCUUCCACACCUGAUCCACGCAGCAGCUGGGCUCUGAGCCCUUCAGGACAGGGUAACCUGUCUCCUCCCACCUGACCUAUGGGCUUUUAAGCAGCCGGCUCUAGCAUGGAGAGAGAAAGCUCUCACACGGCCUCCUUUGCUGUGCUCACAC